Molecule: ribosomal RNA, 446 nt
Filed under: Lactiplantibacillus plantarum
Lineage: Bacteria; Bacillati; Bacillota; Bacilli; Lactobacillales; Lactobacillaceae
Description: bacterial SSU rRNA
Rfam family: Bacterial small subunit ribosomal RNA
Source: RNAcentral
GGAAACAGAUGCUAAUACCGCAUAACAACUUGGACCGCAUGGUCCGAGUUUGAAAGAUGGCUUCGGCUAUCACUUUUGGAUGGUCCCGCGGCGUAUUAGCUAGAUGGUGAGGUAACGGCUCACCAUGGCAAUGAUACGUAGCCGACCUGAGAGGGUAAUCGGCCACAUUGGGACUGAGACACGGCCCAAACUCCUACGGGAGGCAGCAGUAGGGAAUCUUCCACAAUGGACGAAAGUCUGAUGGAGCAACGCCGCGUGAGUGAAGAAGGGUUUCGGCUCGUAAAACUCUGUUGUUAAAGAAGAACAUAUCUGAGAGUAACUGUUCAGGUAUUGACGGUAUUUAACCAGAAAGCCACGGCUAACUACGUGCCAGCAGCCGCGGUAAUACGUAGGUGGCAAGCGUUGUCCGGAUUUAUUGGGCGUAAAGCGAGCGCAGGCGGUUUUUU